AGAGUUUGAUCCUGGCUCAGAACGAACGCUGGCGGCAUGCCUAACACAUGCAAGUCGGACGCUUUCGGGGGUUUCGGCCUCCGAGGGAGUGGCGGACGGGUGAGUAGCGCGUGGGAACCUGCCCCGUUGUGGGGGAUAACCGAGGGAAACUUCGGCUAAUACCGCAUGCGCCCGGGGGUAACUCCGGGGGAAAAGAUUUAUCGCAGAGGGAGGGGCCCGCGUCGGAUUAGGUAGUUGGUGGGGUAACGGCCUACCAAGCCUGUGAUCCGUAGCUGGUCUGAGAGGAUGAUCAGCCACACUGGGACUGAGACACGGCCCGACUCCUACGGGAGGCAGCAGUGGGGAAUAUUGGACAAUGGGCGCAAGCCUGAUCCAGCAAUGCCGCGUGAGUGAUGAAGGCCUUAGGGUUGUACAGCUCUUUCGGCGGGGACGAUGA
This 436-nucleotide ribosomal RNA is filed under the name uncultured bacterium. Its description in RNAcentral is "bacterial SSU rRNA". It matches the Rfam family "Bacterial small subunit ribosomal RNA", at positions 8 to 451 of the family's 1533-position model. The record is from RNAcentral.